CGGGACGGGGGAGUAAUGCUUGGGAAGUCUGGCUUAUGGAGGGGGAUAACUACGGGAAACUGUAGCUAAUACCGCGUAAUAUCGAAAGAUUAAAGUGUGGGACCUUCGGGCCACAUGCCAUAGGAUGAGCCCAAGUGGGAUUAGGUAGUUGGUGAGGUAAAGGCUCACCAAGCCGACGAUCUCUAGCUGGUCUGAGAGGAUGACCAGCCACACUGGGACUGAGACACGGCCCAG
This 234-nucleotide ribosomal RNA is filed under the name uncultured bacterium. RNAcentral's name for it is "partial 16S ribosomal RNA". It matches the Rfam family "Bacterial small subunit ribosomal RNA", at positions 100 to 334 of the family's 1533-position model. The record is from RNAcentral.